Non-coding RNA from Triticum urartu, 125 nucleotides. The record is from Rfam. NCBI's taxonomy places the organism in Eukaryota, Viridiplantae, Streptophyta, Magnoliopsida, Poales, Poaceae.
GUAGUACUCCCUUCGUCCGAAAAUACUUGUCUUGGAAAUGGAUACUAAUGAAUGUAUCUAGAACUAAAAUAUAUCUAAAUACAUAUAUUUCUCGGACAAGUAUUUCCGGACGGAGGGUGUAUGUA